RNAcentral lists this ribosomal RNA (465 nucleotides) under uncultured bacterium. RNAcentral describes it as "partial 16S ribosomal RNA". It matches the Rfam family "Bacterial small subunit ribosomal RNA", at positions 28 to 507 of the family's 1533-position model. The record is from RNAcentral.
GACGAACGCUGGCGGCGUGCUUAACACAUGCCAGUCGAACGGAAAGGCCCUGCUUGCAGGGUACUCGAGUGGCGAACGGGUGAGUAACACGUGGGUGAUCUGCCCUGCACUUCGGGAUAAGCCUGGGAAACUGGGUCUAAUACCGGAUAGGAGCCAUUUUUAGUGUGAUGGUUGGAAAGUUUUUUCGGUGUAGGAUGAGCUCGCGGCCUAUCAGCUUGUUGGUGGGGUAAUGGCCUACCAAGGCGGCGACGGGUAGCCGGCCUGGGAGGGUGGACGGCCACAUUGGGACUGAGAUACGGCCCAGACUCCUACGGGAGGCAGCAGGGGGGAAUAUUGCACAAGGGGCGCAAGCCUGAUGCAGCGACGCCGCGGGGGGGAUGACGGCCUUCGGGUUGUAAACUCCUUUCGCUAGGGACGAAGCUUUUUGUGACGGUACCUAGAUAAGAAGCACCGGCUAACUACGUG